UUCCUCCAUCUUUAUGCAACUUUACUGUUUGACUUUCCAUAAUGGGAGAACAAUUGAAAGACAUUGCUGUAGUUCUCAUGUCUCUUGCUGCUAGAAUUGCAAUCUGUAUUCCAAGAUCUGAAGCUUCAUGAAAAAUGUCUGCUGGAUUUCACAGAGUUUCCUUACUAGAUGCAGUGUUUGUGGGUGUUUGAUGCUGUGCCUCCAUUGGUGUUUUCCAUGCCAAUGGAACUGAUGUGGCUGUCAUCCAGGUUCCAUUUGAAGACCCCAUUGUUCCAAGAAAUCCUUCAAAAGGCAUCUGCACAGAGGGCAUCAGUUUCCAGCGGGGGAUCCAACCGUUCAACUACAUGUGGGAGGUUGGCGUCGUUCCUGACCUGGCUAUGCAUCGUAGGUACAUUAUGCUCUACGAAAACCAGUGACCAUGGACGUUUCUCUCCACCACCGGAUACAUCUGAGGAUAUAACAUUGAGGCAGUUUGGUACAUUUGAAAUCCUAUCGAGGGAUGCCAAGACGCUGGAAGUUCAGCAUGUCUCCACCAAACGCUGCCUCAUCACAACUACUGAGCUGAUCUGCGAGACUAGUGUUCCACAGAAGGGGUGAAGACUGACAACAAACAGGACUCUGGCCAUCAUUGGUGCAGAACCUCCCUCCUGAACUCCACCUGCAGGCCCCAAGAGACAGAUGGAUCUCCUGUGUGACUGGGAUCGUGUUCUACAAGCAAUACUCACCCGAAGACAGGCCUGUCAUCACCAGACAUCUUAUAGUUUGGCUUUGCCAGUGGCGAGACUCCCGUUGUGAUGCCUCUGACGAUGACACUGACUAAAGUAUCCUGUUACAACAAUCUGCUAAAUGAAUUUGGGUCCCCUGGCCACACCCAGCAAUUUAAACUAGCAUUGAAUCAAUACUUUCAUGUUAUUACUCUAUUUAAAAUGAAUAAAUUGUUGGCUCUUGAA
Non-coding RNA from Salvelinus sp. IW2-2015, 950 nucleotides. The record is from RefSeq and is a predicted model, not a curated record. NCBI's taxonomy places the organism in Eukaryota, Metazoa, Chordata, Actinopteri, Salmoniformes, Salmonidae.